UCCUCUUCUCUAAGAUCUCUCAGUCUUGCUGGUUGUGAUUUGCAAGGAAAAUUCCCAAAAAACAUUUUUGAUUUGCCAAACCUCAAUCUCCUCAACUUGGGAGGCAACCAAUUGAGUGGACAAAUUCCAAGAUCAUUGGGGAACCUCUUGCAACUCACUGUUUUAGACUUGUGGGGGAACAAAUUGAGUGGACAAAUUCCAUUGUCAAUUCUAAACCUAACGCAGUUGGAAUACUUGGUAAUAUCUGAAAAUUCUUUAGAAGGUUCUAUUCCAGAUGAGGUAACCGCUGUUCCGAAUCUAAUAUAUUUAGUCUUAUAUGACAAUUUACUCAAUGGAACACUUCCGUCAUGGUUGUAUACUGCUCCCUCCUUAAAGGGUAUAAUUCUCUCUCAAAAUCAAUUCAGUGGGCAUAUCAAAGAAUUCCAAACCAAAUCACUAGAAUAUUUAGAUCUAGAAAAUAAUAAACUCCAAGGUCCCCUUCCAUCUUCAAUAUUCCAACUUCUCAAUCUUACCGGGCUCCUUUUAUCCUCAAAUAAUCUUAGUGGUGUCAUAGAGUUUCGCAUGUUCUCAAACCUUCCAAAUCUCAAAUAUCUUUACCUUUCAUAUAACAACCUAUCCUUAACAUCUAAUUCUACUUCUACUGUUAAUCAUAUAUUGCCUAAUCUUACAGACGUACUUUUGUCAUCUUGCAAUCUUAGUGAAUUCCCCCAGUUUUUAAAAGGGCUUAAAAGUUUGGAAAGCUUAGACCUCUCUUGCAACAAAAUUGAAGGCAAGAUUCCACAGUGGAUGCAAGAGGUGGGGAAUGUCUCUUUGACUUACUUCAACGUAUCUCACAACUCUUUGACAGAAGUUGAGCACUUUCCAUGGAAGAAUAUUGAAAGGCUUGACUUAAGCUCCAAUUUGAUCAGUGGAAAUCUUCCGAUUCCAGCUUCGACCAUCAGUGUCUUUUUUAUCUCAAAUAAUAGUUUCAAUGGAGAGGUCUCUUCUUUAAUAUGCAAUGCCAGUUCUCUUCGAAUUCUUGAUUUGUCCCACAAUAACUUGAGUGGACCAAUUCCGCAAUGUUUUGGAAAUUUGAGUGACAGCCUUGAAAUCUUGAAUCUGAAGAAGAACAAGUUCUAUGGGACGAUUCCUCCAAAAUUUGCAAAGGGAUGCCGAUUGACUAAUUUCAACUUAAAUGGAAAUCUGUUAGAAGGGCCAUUGACUCCAUCCAUCCUUAAUUGUAGGGGUCUGGAAGUGCUAGAUCUUGGUAACAACAAGAUCAAUGAUACAUUUCCUCAUUGGUUGGGAAGUCUUCCACAGCUACAAGUUCUUGUAUUGAAGUCAAAUCAUAUGCAUGGUUCCUUAUGUGUCAAUAGCUCUAAGUCUAGCCCUUUUUUCUCUAAAAUCCAAAUUUUUGACCUCUCAAGUAACUAUUUUUCUGGACCCCUACCAGUGAGAUACAUCAACAGCUUCAAGGCUAUCAUAAAUGUAGAGAAGAUUGGUAGUACAGUGUCGUACAUGGGGGUGAAUGAUGAUGGAGGUGACUUCUAUACCUAUUCCAUUGGAAUUGUCAUGAAAGGGAGAGAUAUGGAAUUGGUGAAAAUUUUCACCAUGUGGAUGAUCAUUGAUCUAUCAAACAAUCAGUUUGAAGGGGGUAUUCCAGAGGUUUUUGGGAAGCUUAACUUACUGAAAGGGCUCAACCUUUCUCAUAAUAACCUUAAUGGUGGUAUCCCCACCUUAAUAGGGAAUUUGACAAGUCUUGAAUGGUUGGACCUAUCUUCAAACAGGUUGUCUGGGACGAUUCCAAAUAGAUUGGCAGAUCUGCCAUUUCUUUCGUCCUUCAAUGUUUCUGAAAAUCAACUCCAUGGUCAGAUUCCUCAAGGCAAACAGUUCAACACAUUUGGAAAUGAUUCAUAUGAAGGAAACAAGGCAUUAUGUGGAUUUCCGGUCUCAAAAGGUUGCAACAUCAUUGAGCCAGCACCUCCAAAUGUGCUUGAAAAAGAUGGCUCAAAAUCAAACAUUACUUUUGGUUGGAAAGUGGUGUUGAUAGGUUAUGGAUGCGGAGUGGUGUUCGGAAUGUCCGUGGGAUAUGUUGUUUUCCAAACUGGUAAGCCGAAAUGGUUGGUGAAUUUGGUUGAAAUCCAACAUGAGAAGAAGCGAAGAAGAAAGUCAAAGGAUGGCAGUCGCAGCAAUGGACGAAGAAGAAUCUAGUUAGUGGAAAUGAUGUUCAAGUGUUGAUGUUGUAUCUUCAUAAUUUCUUGUUUUGAAGUCUGUCAAAUUUUUUUCCUAUCGUGAAAGGCUGCAUUGCCAUGCAUCUGUCUUUUUUAUUGUAACCAUUCAUCUAUAUUUCAUUGCAUUACGUAGUAUUUGUAAGGGUUUGUUUUAAAUGUAACAUUUUGUAUGGUUCAACUAUUUAUGUCUCUUUCAUGAGUUUCAUUUUUGAGUCUCAAUAAUCUCUGCAUUCAAGAUUUUGUCAGCUUAUUAAUUGGUGGAUCAAUAAUCUUCAUGCUCAUCUCAUCAUCUUUUUCUCGAGUUAAACACAGUCACUACUAUAAUAAUUUCUUCUGUGUGGAAAAUAAUUUGGCAUUCUGCAAAUUUCCACAAUGCUUGUGGAUUACCUCUGGUUGACGGCUAUACAUAUAAAGGAAGGAAACAAGACUAUGUCAAAAUUUCCAAAAAUCAGUCAUUCAUUUUUGAACAAUUAAACAUUCCUAUUCUAUUUUUCAAAAUUGUAAAUCCUCAAAUAAUGUAAAUUAGUCCUAAAACUCAAGUUUUGAAAUCUUUACAAUUUAACCCCUUAUAGUUUCAAACUUUACUAUUUUAUGCUCAACUUUCUAAAUCUUCAUAUUUCAUGAUCAUAUAAUUUAGUUAUUACAUCAAUAUUUCAGAUUUCACUACUCAAACCCUUACUUCAUUUUGGUCCUUACUUCAAUUUUUUCAAAUUAAAUCAAUUUUCAAUUUGACUGCAUUGAUGUGAAAUUGAGGGAGCACUAAACAAUGUUGAUGCGAGUUUAGGUAAAAUUGGUGGAUCCCAUCUCCUUAGUAAUUUCUUUAUGGAAGUAGCUGCUUUCACACUGCAAACUUGAAUAGUUUGUGGUGGACGAUGAUGAAUCAUUUGACAAUCAAACACAUAAUUUUUAAACACAAAAUUAACGAUAUUUUGAAAUCAUUAUUGAAAUUAUAAUCAAAAUUAAUACAUGUUCUUUUUAUUAGCUUAAGGUCGUAAAAACCCUUCAAAAUUUUCAAAAAAAAAAAAAAUUUAAGUCCCUCUUUUUUUUUUUCUAAUUUUUAAUAAAAGUAGGGGCUUAAUUGCUUUUUUUUUUUUAAGUUUGAGGGUCUUUUUGAUGCAUUUUGAAAGUUCAAGUACCCAAUUGAGUGCAAGAAGAAAGUAGGGGCUUAAUUGCUUUUUUUUAUGUAUUUUGAACGUUCAUGUACCCAAAUGAGUGCAUAAAAAAAACAGGGGUUUAGUUGCUAUUUUUGAAAAGGGUUUGAGGGCUUUUUGCACCCUUAAACCUCUUUUCUUUUUCUAAAUUUAAUUUAGAACCAACUUUGAGUAAAGACUUGGGAAAUUUAAUUAGCAAAAUUUCUUUCCAUGUAAAUAUUUCCCCUAUUUCUUGUUGGAAUUUAAAGCAAUACAAUAUUUUUGUAGCUAGUAACAGAAAACGACAGUCAAUUAAUUCCAAGCAAUACAAAAUAUCCAGUCUGGUGGAAAAUUUGUUUGUUAGAUUCUAUUAUUCAACUUUUAAGGCAUAAGUCUGAAUAUAGGGACUAAAUUUUUAAAGUGUUGUUUAUUUUAAAAUCUAUUAAUAUAUACACACUUAGGGACCAUAUAUAUAUAUAUCAUAUAUAUAUAUAUAUAUUCCAUUCUGGAUCUUUGUCGUGUUUUGUUGGUUGGCUCUGGCCUUGUUGUUGUUUCCACUGCCUGUGGUCUCUGUUUCUAAGUCAUAUGUGGCCUUGUUUGCUAGACCUUAGUUGCUCUUCACAUGUCUUGUAUUUUGUCAAGUUAAUUGAAAUGGAAAAUAAAAGUGUUGGCAUUACAGAUUAGAGUAAAAGGAAUUAGUGUUGAAGUUGGGGUUGUUCAAUUGUUGGAAUUCAUGUGUGUAUUUUUUUGAGUAUCUGGGUCUUUGUCGUGUUUUCUUGGUUGGCUAUGGCGGCCUUCUUGUUGUUCCCACUGUCUGUGGUAUUUGUUUCUAAGUCAUAUGUGGCCUUGUAUGCUAGACCUUAGUUGCUAAGUUAAAGGGAGUGAAUAGAGCACCAUAUUUCUUCUUCUGCGUGGAAAAUAAGUUGGCAUUAUGCCAAUUUCCACAUUCAUACAUAUAAAGGAAGCAAGAGCAAGUCAAUAUACUUUGUAAUCUCAUCAAUUCUUCUUCUUUCUUUAGGGAGUUCAAAUGAAAUACAAAUUUUUGGUAAAUCAACUCUUCAUUUUUAUGAAUAAAAAUUAUAUGGUAGAAAGGAAGUGGUGUUAAUAAUAAUAAUAAUAAUAAAAAGAUUAACAAUAGAACACUAAUAAAGCAAUUUAGUCUAUGAUCUGCACAAUAUAUUACUACAAAUGUACCGUACAGAAUAUUGAAAGAAAACUAAUAAAGAAGUUCGAAAUUUAAACAAUGUUCCGCAAAUUAUGUUUAUGAUCUGCUGUAAAUUGAUAUGUUAAAUCAACUCUUCAUUUUUAUGAAUAAAAAUUAUAUGGUAAAAAGGAAGUGGUGUUAAUAAUAAUAAUAAAGAUCAACAAUAGAAAACUAAUAAAGCAAUUUAGUCUAUGAUCUGCAUAAUAUAUUACUACAAAUGUACCGUACAGAAUAUUGAAAGAAAACUAAUAAAGAAAUCCGAAAUUUUAACAAGGUUCCGCAAAUUAUGUUUAUGAUAUGAUGUAAAUUGAUAUGUCAAAUUUUGUGGCAAGUAAUAGAAAAUGACAAAUUCCACAUUCAUACAUAUAAAGGAAGCAAGAUCAAGUCAAUAUACUUUGUAAUCUCAUCACUUCUUCUUCUUUCUUUAGGGAGUUCAAAUGAAAUACAAAAUUUUGGUAAAUCAACUCUUCAUUUUUAUGAAUAAAAAUUAUAUGGUAAAAGGAAGUCUUGUUAAUAAUAAUAAUAAGAUUAACAAUAGAAAACUAAUAAAACAAUUUAUCCAAAUAUCAAAAUAAAUAUUAACUUUUUCAGAAACCAAAAUUAUUUUCUAAAAAUUAUUUUUUAAAAACUAUUUUUAGUGAAACAAACUGAGUCUUAGCCCAUAUUGUAAAUUAUUUUGUGGGUCUGGAAUUCUUGUACAUUAUGCUGCAAAAGAGUGAAAUUUCCUUACAGCUAGUCGAUCAAGUUUGGUUGAAAUUGAAUGCAUUGAUGUGAAAUUGAGGGAGCCUAAACAAUGUUGAUGCGAGUUUAGGUAAAAUUAGUGGAUCCCAUCUCCUUAGUAAUUUCUUUAAGGAAGUAUCUGCUUUCACACUGUGUUGACAACUUCCCACAGAUCAAAGGCCUGCAGGUAAGUCUUCAUAUUUACCAGCCAUAUGUGAAAACCUUCUCCAUUGAAGACUGGUGGGACUGCUGGUGAAAAUCCUGAAGAAGCCAUCAGGUUUCUUGAUUUGAAGCAACAGGUCCACUAAGAAAAGGGCUCUAGAUACCAAUUGUUGGUGUAAAAGGGCAGAAGCAAACUGAUUUAAGCUUGCUUAUACAGCAAGCCUCGAGCCUUGUAGAAGAAACAAUCUCAGCAGAAAGCAAAAAUGAAGCUUGCAGUUGGAAAAACAAGAAAACAAGGAGAGAAUUUGAAUGAAAAACAAGCUGAGUUGUUCAUUAACAUUACAACAAGGCAUAUUGCCAUUACAUAUAUCAGUUAACUUGUCAAAUAAACAAGUAAUCACCUAAUCAAUUACCUAACACCACUAAUAUGCAUUGAAACUUACAAAAUUAGCUUGCAAACAUUACAUUGCUGAUAUUUCAGUCAAUCAACAUCAAAAUUACACCAAAACAUUCACCUGCUUAGUUCAAUGUGAACUAGAUUACAAAAUGAUUAAAAUACAACUAAAACAACAAGUGGUUCAGUAACUUGAAGCUUCAGCUGCUGCACACCAUGGCUCGAUUGCCUGCUGCCAUUUCUUCUUGCAUGGCCACCUUUGCAUGGGAACUAAACUCAACAUACACGAACUAAUGCAAAUAUGCUAGUGGUUUAUUUUCCACCUAUCUGAUUUUUUAAAAUGUUCUUCAGUUACACCAGUUGAUGCAAUCUAUUAUUACCUGCCUCGUUGCAAAAAGGUUAGGAAAUAAAUUCACCGACAAUCAUUGGGAACUAAGAAACUUCGCAGCAAAGCUAGUGGCAUCAAUAUGCAAAAGGUGAAGAUUCUUUUCUUUUGGACUUAUACAUGCAUAUUCGUUUUUAUGAAUUUCAGGUGUCUGAGUUUUUAGUUAUAAACUUGGAUCUAUUCUUCAAAUCAUGUGUAUAUCAUUUUUAUGCUAUUUCACACUUGCAAAACAAAUGGUGCGAGCGUGCAUGUUAUAUGCAGAAUACAUAGAUUAAUUACAUGUGGAUCAUUAAGCAUGCCUAUGUUUGACGAUUGUGUGUGGCUACCUUUUUUUACAUGAUCCAAUUUUCGAUAUGCUUUGCUUUUAGGUUGAAUGCGGAAAAGAUUAGAACUUAAUUUCCAGCAUAAUGAUUUGUCUUGGAUAUGCAGAUUUUACAUGCAUUUCUUACAAGUCAAUAUUUUAUAGAUUUGGGCAUGUUUAUCACAAUCUUCAGCCACGUGUGACAAGGACACUGCUCCACGCUUUUUUGGACCCAACGAAAACAUUUCCCCAGUAUUACGGAGCAAUUCAAGGGUUAGCAGCCCUUGGACCCAGUGUGGUAUAAUUCUAAUCUCAAAUAUUUACUAGCAACACAAUAAGAUACUUGUUUGUGGGAUCAAUUGGUCAAAGAUAUUGCAAUGAUAGCCAUCUUUUUAAGCCCAUUUCUUUCAGAAAACUGUUUUGUCACUCUUUUCUGCAAGAUCCGAAGAAAGAAAGAACAUGGAAAUCUUUAGUCCAAAAGUGUAAAUAUGCGGUUUCUCUAUAGCUAUCUUGAUUAUGGCAUCUGUAAAGUUUGUCUUUCAUAUGUUUGGCUAACGCUUCUUCAUCCAUAUGUAGGUUCGUUUACUUAUACUACCAAACCUUGAAGCGUAUUUGCAGCUUCAUGAACCUGAAAUAAAAAGACACGAGGCCUGGUGUUUUUAUGGGGCCCUGCUGGUAAGUUUAACAUCAAAUUUGGUACCAGUUUACGAGCAUCAUUUCAUUUAUUUGCUAUAGAACUAACAACACUGCAUAAAAUUUCCACUAAAAGCGUGCAGCUGGACUGUGCAUGUAUGAUCGGCUUAAAAUGUUCCCCAGUUUGCUAGCACCCCCAACUCGGCCCGUCUGGAAAAGCAACAACAAAGUUGCGACAAGUAUGAUUUCUUCGAACCAUCAUAUUUACACUUAAUCCACAGGUCUCUUCUCCCCCUUUACGAUUUUCCUUUUUCUGAUCAAUCAAGAUAAACGAAAAGCAAGCACGGACGCCUUGAUGCAGCAGCAACCACCUGCGAAGAAAAUAGCAACUGAGAGUGCAAUAGGUAUGAUGCCAAUAAAUUCCAUGCAAACUGAUUUACAAGGGGCAGUUAGCAGCUUUUCUACCACCGUAGGAGGUUCCAAUAUCGGUGUAUCAUCAAUGUCACGGCCGUUAUCAAACGAUAACAUGCUAGGAAGGGAGGUUGGGGGUCGAGUUUCAAGGACAUCAACCGUUCUAGCUCAGGCUUGGAAGGAAGACACAGACCCAGGGAACUUGUUAGCAUCAUUAUUUGAACUUUUUGGUGAAAGUAUGUAAUUAAAAUAAUAUAUUGGCUUAACCCUCCUAAAUUAUGUAUUUUUUUCCAUCUUGGGACCUAAAUUUUUUUGGGGUCAUAAGUGGUACCUAAACUACAUUUUUUCUCCUUCAAAUUAGUAUCUUCAUUAAUUAAACCGUUAAGUCUAUUUAAAAAAGAAAGACUCGAACAACAAAUUAAUACCUAAACAGUGCUCUUUUUCUCAAGGUACCUAAUUUUUAUUUUGGCCAUAAGUACUACUAAAACUAUUCUUCCGUUACUCAUUUUACACCAAAAUGUUAUAUCGGCUGAAAAGAUUCCAACAAAUAAUAGAUUGUAUGUUAUAUAAACUUUUAAAAAUAAUUAUUAUUUAAUUAAUUUUUUAUAUUUUUCUUUCUUAUUCCUUUCUAAUGUUUGGCAAUGCUGAUAAUGUUUGAAAUUGUCCCACUUGAGGUCAAAAUACUGGUGAUUAAUUUUGGUUUUGAAUUUCACCACCUACUUCUUUGACCUAAGGGGAUAGAAAAUGUUCUUUUAUCGAUCAAAACUAGUAUUUUCAAAAACAGAUUGAUUCAACUGGUUGGAUAGGAAAUCGGUCUGGAAAUAAGGGUUGAAUCGAUUGACUUGCGACCAAAAACAAAUCAGUUGAACUAAGUUAAAAAAACUGGUUGAACUAGUUCUCUCCAUUUAUAUAUAUAUAAAUAAUAAUAGUCUUUUUUUGUACUAUAUGUCAAUUUUUAAUUGGUUAAUUUUUUUUUUCAUAUAAACUGAACGGUUUGACUAAUGACGGAGGUACCAAAUUAUAGUCUAGGUACCAAUUCAUGGGUUAAGCCUAUUUCUACAAUAGACUUUUGACUAAUGGCGGUAGUAACUUGGGAAAAAAAAAGUAGUUUAUGUACCACUUGUGACAAAAAAUAAGUUUAGGUACUAUCAUGGGAAAAUGAGUAUAAUUUAGAUACUAAUUUAUGAGUUAAGCCUAAUAUAUUUGCCACAUCAUUUUUUGAAAAUAACAGAACUUAAUAAAUUUAACGGUUAUUAUUUGAUGAUGACUAAAAUUUUUAAAUUUGAAAAGUACAUGAACUAAAAAUGACCAAAUUAAAGUAUAAAGAUUAAGUCCACAACUUUUGCAAAGUACAAGGACUAAUAGCAGAAAUUAACCUAAAUUUCAUAUGGGUCAAUUACAAUAAUAAUCACUAAACUAUUCCUUUGGUUCUAUUCUAGUCACUCAACUAUAGAGCUGCUCAUGAGCCGGGCCAGGUUAGGCCUAAGCAUGAUAUUAACGUACUUUAUGCUUGCUCAAGCUUGGCUCGGCCCGAAAUAUGAGCUUAAAAUUUCGCCUAAACUCAUCAAUAUUUGCAAAAGACUAACCCAAGCUCAUUUUAGGCAUGCCCAUAUAAUUUUUAGUUUUUUUUUUUUAAAUAUUUAUAUUAUAUUAUUUUAAGAAUUAAUAAUUUGAACUAUAGUAUUAUUAUAUAUUUAGUAUAAGUUUAUUUUUUAAUCUGUUCUAAAUUAUAUAAUAUAAAAUAUUAUACACUUAAAAACGGGCCGGGCUGGGCUCGAGCUUUAAAUGUUCAAGUCUUAACCCGGCCCAUAUUUUAAACGGGCUUAAUUUUUUUACCAAAACCCAAUUUUCGGGCCUAAUUUUUUUACUCAGACCCUCCCAAAUUUUGGGCUGCCCUUGGGCUUUGGCAAGUAGCCCAACUCAUGAACAAGUUUACUCAACUAUUAAUUUUUUCGAUUUAGUUGUUAACCUUUUCGAAAGUAAAUAUUUUAGUCAUUCUCCUAUUAGUUGUUGUUAAACGAGUGACGGAAAGCUGAUGUGGGCUUUUUUUAUUAGUCUAAUAACAAAUUUAGCCCUCCAAUGUUUACACAUUCUAUCAAUUUGAUCCUAGAUAUAAAAAAAUCAACAAAUUUAGCCCUGAAUGUUAACAAAACUUGUCAUUUUAGUUCAAAUUCUAAAAAAUUUAAUAAAUUUAACCCUUAAUAUUUUCAAAAAUUAGCAAUUUAGUUCUAAUUCUAAAAAUUUUAAUAUAUAUAUUUAAAAAAAUAUUUUUAAUCAUCUGUCUCACCCUUUGAUUUUUUAGAUGAGCUAAAAUCAAAAUGAGAUAAAAAAAAAUAAAAAGUUAAAAUGACUUUUCGUUUGUAAAGUUAAAAAAUGCUAAAUAAAUCAUUAUGUCUUUUUAGUUUUAAUUUUUUACUUGAUUAAAAGAGAAAUAAUUAACAAAUGAAAAAUAAUUAUUUCUAUAUAAAUUUAUCAAAAUUUAUAACAAAUGAUAUUUUAGAUUUGAAUUAUCAGACUAUAUAUAUAUAAGUAUACACAUUUUUAUGAAAUAAAAGAUUUUGCUAAAAGAAAAAGCAUCCAAUUUUAAGAAUGAAAAAUAUAUGGUAAAAGCAUCCAUAACUUUUCAAUGUUAAAGACAAAAAAGACUGUAACACCAAUGUUGUGGUAUUAUUUGUUGCCUAUAAAUACCAUUCCUAUCCUUCUUCUUCCUCUACCAACAUAACAUGGCCUCCUAUCUCUUUCUCUCCCUAUUCCUCUUCUUUCUCCAUCUUUAUGCUUCUUUUUCUUCUUCAGGAUCUCACUCCUGCUCUUCACUAAUCCAGUUUAAGGACUCCUUUUCCAUAAGAGAGGAUGCUUCUUUUGAUCAUUGCGAUUAUUUUGCUGGCCUUAAAUCUUAUCCCAAGACAAAUUCAUGGAAGGAGGGUACAGAUUGCUGCUCAUGGGAUGGGGUCACUUGUGACCACCUAAAUGCUCAUGUUAUUGCCCUUGACUUGAGCUGCAGUUGGCUAUAUGGCACCUUCCCUUCCAAUACCACUCUCUUCCUUCUUCCUCACCUUCAAAAACUCAACCUUGCCUACAAUGAUUUUAAUUCUUCCAAAAUUCCAUCCGAGUUCGGUCGGUUUACAAGCCUAUUCUACCUCAACCUUUCCAAUACAUGGUUUUCAGAAGUCCCAUCCCAAGUCUCCCACCUGUCAAAAUUGGUUUCACUUGAUCUUUCUGGGUUUGAUGAACUAUUAACAAUUGACAAAUAUGCUCUGGAGGGUCUUGUUCACAACCUAACCGAGGUCAGACGUCUGUUUUUGGAUGAAAUGGACAUGUCUUCAGUUAAUGCUCAUGUCUUCAUGAAUCUAUCCUCUUCUCUAAGGUCUCUCAGUCUUGUUGGUUGUGAUUUGCAAGGAAAAUUCCCAAAAAACAUUUUUGAUUUGCCAAACCUCAAUCUCCUCAACUUGGGAGGCAACCAAAACCUCAAUCUUGAUCCUUUGAAGUUCAAUCGGAGCAGCAAUCUUGAACAAUUGAUAAUUUCAGACGCAAAUAUUUGUGGAGGAUUGCCUGACUCGAUGGGGAAUCUUGUGUCCUUGAAGUUUUUAGUUCUCUCCCAUUCCAACUUAUCAGGACUGGUUCCAAGAUCACUGGGGAAUCUCUUGAAACUCACUCAUUUAGACUUGUCGGAGAACCAAUUGAGUGGACAAAUUCCAAGAAAAUUGGGGAACCUCUUGCAACUCACUCAUUUAGACUUGUCGAAGAACCAAUUGAGUGGACAAAUUCCAAGAUCAUUAGGGAACCUCUUGCAACUCACUCAUUUAGACUUGUGGCUGAACCAAUUGAGUGGACAGAUUCCAAGAUCAUUGGGGAACCUCUUGCAACUCACUGUUUUAGACUUGGGAUGGAACAAAUUGAGUGGACAAAUUCCAUUGUCAAUUCUAAACCUAACGCAGCUGGAAUACUUGACAAUAUCUAACAAUUCUUUAGAAGGUUCCAUUCCAGAUGAGGUAACCGCUUUUCAUAAUCUAAUAUAUUUAGACUUAUCUGACAAUUUACUCAAUGGAACACUGCCGUCAUGGUUGUAUACUGCUCCCUCCUUAAAGACAAUAUAUCUCUCUCAAAAUCAAUUCAGUGGGCAUAUCAAAGAAUUCCAAUCCAAAUCACUAGAAUGGAUAUGGUUAGAGAAUAAUAAACUCCAAGGUCCUCUUCCAUCUUCAAUAUUCCAACUUCUCAAUCUUACCCAACUUAGCUUAUCCUCAAAUUAUCUUAGUGGUGUCAUAGAGUUUCGCAUGUUCUCAAACCUUCCAAAUCUCGAAUAUCUUGACCUUUCAUAUAACAGCCUAUCCUUAACAUCUAAUACAACUUCUACUGUUAAUCUUACAAGCUUAUUUUUGUCAUCUUGCAAUCUUAGUGAAUUCCCCCAAUUUUUAAAAGGGCUUAAAAGUUUGGAAAGCUUAGACCUCUCUUGCAACAAAAUUGAAGGCAAGAUUCCACAGUGGAUGCGAGAGGUGGGGAAUGGCUCUUUGACUCACUUAAAUGUAUCUCACAACACUUUGACAGAAGUUGAGCACUUUCCAUGGAAGAAUAUUGAUGUUCUUGACUUAAGCUCCAAUUUGAUCAGUGGAAAUCUUCCGAUUCCAGCUUCGACCAUAAGAGUCUUUUUGAUCUCAAAUAAUAGUUUCAAUGGAGAGGUCUCUUCUUUAAUAUGCAAUGCCGCUUUUCUUGAAAUUCUUGAUUUGUCCCACAAUAACUUGAGUGGAACAAUUCCACAAUGUUUUGGAAAUUUGAGCAACAGCCUUCUAUUCUUGAAUCUGAAGAAGAACAAGUUUUAUGGGACGAUUCCUCCAGCAUUUGCAAAGGGAUGCCGAUUGAGUAAUUUCAACUUAAAUGGAAAUCUGUUAGAAGGGCCUUUGACACCAUCCAUGAUCCAUCCUUAAUUGUAAUGGUCUGGAAGUGCUAGAUCUUGGUAACAACAAGAUCAAUGAUACAUUUCCUCAUUGGUUGGGAAGUCUUCCACAGCUACAAGUUCUUGUAUUGAAGUCAAAUCAACUGCAUGGUUCCUUAUGUGUCAAUAGCUCCAAGUCUAUCCCUUUUUUCUCUAAAAUCCAAAUUUUUGAUCUCUCAAGUAAUUAUUUUUCUGGACCCCUACCAGUGAGAUACAUCAACAGCUUCAAGGCUAUCAUAAAUCUAGAGAAGAUUGGGAGUACAAUGUCGUACAUGGGGGUGUAUGCUCAGAGAGGUAGUGCCUUCUAUACCCAUUCCAUUGGAAUUGUUAUGAAAGGACAAGAUAGGGAAUUGGUGAAAAUUUUCACCAUGUGGAUGAUCAUUGAUCUAUCAAACAAUCAGUUUCAAGGGGGUAUUCCAAAGGUUAUUGUGAAGCUUAACUUGCUGAAAGGGCUCAACCUUUCUCAUAAUAACCUUAAUGGUGGUAUCCCCACCUCAAUAGGGAAUUUGACAAGUCUUGAAUGGUUAGACCUAUCUUCAAACAGUUUGUCUGGGACGAUUCCAAAUAGAUUGGCAGAUCUGCCAUUUCUUUCGUCCUUCAAUGUUUCUGAAAAUCAACUCCAUUGUCAGAUUCCUCAAGGCAAACAGUUCAACACAUUUGGAAAUGAUUCAUAUGAAGGAAACAAGGGAUUAUGUGGAUUUCCGGUCUCAAAAGGUUGCAACAUCAUUGAGCCAGCACCUCUAAAUGUGCUUGAAAAAGAUGGCUCAAAAUCAAACAUUACUUUUGGUUGGAAAGUGGUGUUGAUAGGUUAUGGAUGCGGAGUGGUGUUCGGAAUGUCCGUGGGAUAUGUUGUUUUCCAAACUGGUAAGCCGAAAUGGUUGGUGAAUUUGGUUGAAAUCCAACAUGAGAAGAAGCGAAGAAGAAAGUCAAAGGAUGGCAGUCGCAGCAAUGGAUGAAGAAGGAUCUAGUUAGUGGAAAUGAUGUUCAAGUGUUGAUGUUGUAUCUUCAUAAUUUCUUGUUUUGAAGUCUUUCAAUUUUUUUCCUAUGGUGAAAGGUUGCAUUGCCAUGCAUCUGUCUUUACUUUUGUAACAAUUCAUCUGUCAUAAUAUUAUAGAUUUUAUUGAUUUUAAUUUUUUCUCUAAUUUUUAAUAAAAAUAGGGGCAUAAUUGCUUUUUUUUUUUAAGUUUGAGAGUAUUUUUUAUGCAUUUUGAAAGUUCAAGUACCAAAUUGAGUGCAAAAAAAAAAAGAGUAGGGGCUUAAUUACUUUUUUUGAAAAUGUUUGAGAGCUUUUUUGAUGUAUCAAAUGAAAUACAAAUUUUGAGUAAAUCAACUAUUCAUUUUUAUGAAUAAAAAUUAUAUGGUAAAAAGGAAGUAGUGUUAAUAAUAAUAAAAAAGAUCAACAAUAGAAAACUAAUAAAGCAAUUUAGCCUAUGAUCUGCGCAAUAUAUUACUACAAAUGUACUGUACAAAAUAUUGAAGAAAACUAAUAAAGAAAUCUGAAAUUUUAACAAGUUCCGCAAAUAAUGUUUAUGAUUUGCUGUAAAUUGAUAUGUCAAAUUAGGCUCUCCAUCACACUUAAAAGUUUAUUUUCGAGCAAUUUAGAUAUCUUUGUUGCGUUUUUAUUUUGUUUUAGUUGUUUAUAUUAAUAAAUGAUUAGUGUGCAUUUUGAUGCUAUUUUAAGACCUGAGAUGGCCAAAUGGCACCCGGGGAAUCUAAUGAGGUUGGUGAGUGAUGCAGAGAGCCCAUGGUGGCCCGGAAGGAACGAAAAUGUUACCUAGAAAGAGGGUAUCGCAUUUCAAAGCAUGAAAGUCGUAAUACCCAUAACAAUGUUAAAAACAAGGAAGAUUGAGCCAUCAACAAUGUUAUCGUGAUACCGGUCAUAAGAUAUCGCGAUACCCAAAACUUCCAAGGAUCCCCCAAGACUGUUGUGGAUAUCGCGAUACCAAACUUUGGGUAUCGCAAUAUCAUUGAUGAGAGGAGACAAAAUAUAACUGUAGGGGUAAUCCUUUUCCAACAUGUGGAAUGGCCAUGGGAUGUGUUGUUUUCCAAACCGGUAAGGCGAAAAGGUUCGUGAAUUUGGCUGAAGACCAACAUGAGAAGAGGCGAAGAAGAAAGCCAAAAUAUAGCAAUCGCAUCAAUGGAUGAAGAAGGAUCUAGUUGGUUCAAAUGAAGUUAAAGCAUUUGUGCUGUGUCUUCAUAAUUUCUUGUUUAGUAGUCUGUCAGAAAGUUUUUCCUAUGGUGAAAAGUUGCAUUGCUAUGUGUCUGUUUUUAUGAUUGUACCAAUUCCUCUGUAUUUCAUUGCAUUUCGUACUAUUUGUAAGGGUUUAGUUCAGUGUAACAUCUUGUAUGGUGCAACUAUGUAUGUCUUCUUUCUUGAAUUUCAACUUUUAGUAAACAUUAUACUGCUCACCAUAAAAAAAAUACAUGUAGAAUUACAAAAGAUUCAAUUAUUCAAGUUUGAGUUGCAUUUAUAAACAUGUGAUGAUGAGAAUUCAUGAACAAAAGGUAUGGUUUGAGCCCUUUUGCAAUAUGCGUUUAUGUUGCAUUUACCUAUAUAUCUAUCGACAAAUUUAAGAGUAAUAUUUACAAUAGCAUUGCAGAGUAACAUAUUUACGAUUGGAUUACACAGUCAAAAGAUUGCAGCAACGAUGAGAUUAAUCCAAUUACAGGAAUUGAUAUCCUAAAUGGCUUUUAGGUACGUAGCUUCAUUGACGGUACAAACUAGUUAAAAUUUCCAGAAUUCAUGUCUUUGUUUUCCCUCAAGUAAACGUAGUCAAUACUGCAAAUGGUGUGGAAGUAUUGUACAUUGUGGCCCAAAUGUCCAAAAUUUCCACAUUGCUUGUAAAUUAAGUGAUGAAAACCAAAACUGUUUGAGGCAUCCAAUUACCCACAGAGAUAGGAAGUAAGGACGCAUGUAUAAUUAUUAUCAUUAAUUAAAGCAUAUAUAAUUACAUUAAAUAUAGGAUAAACUAUAAAAAUAAUCACUUUUAUUUACCUCAUAUUACAUUUUAGUCACUUAUGUUUGAAAUGUUACAUUUUGGUCACUUACGUUAUCGUUUUGGUACGAAGUGGUCACUCUACCGUUAAGCUCCGUUACCUCCCUAACGGCGAUUCUACGUGAUAGUCCAAAUGAGUUUUAAAUGCCAACUUAAAUGUCUUGCGUGGCUGUCUAAAUUAAAUUUAUUUAAUUAAAAACUUAUUUUCAUCUCAACAACCGGACAUUCAAGUUCGCAUUUAAAACCCAUUUAGACUGCCACGUAGGACUGCCGAUAGGGAGGUAACAGAGUUUGAUAGUAGAGUAACCACUUCAUAACAAAACGAUAAUGUAAGUGGCUAAAACAUAACAUUUCAAACAUAAGUAAUUAAAAUAUAAUAUAAGGUAAACAAGCCUUAAAUAUAUAAAUUACUAUGAUUACUAUCAAGAUAGCAUUGACCUGUUCAACAGGCGGAACCAAUAGAUCUGACCAUUUGGUGACUCUAGCAGUCGAUAAGUGUGAGUGGCAGACUGUGCAACUUGUAACUAUGUUAAUUGAUGAAAAGCUUUUUGAUAGAAGAUAAUAAACUAGUGGCAAUGGCAAACGGUUCCAAGACGAGGUGGGACACCGAGGCUUUGUGUAACAGGGGAAUAGAUGCACUCAAUGCUGGCGGCUGUUGACUUGUAUUUCUCUCUAACAAUUUAAAUCACCAGCUUGCUUCAUCCAUCUAUAAAUAAGGGUCUUCUUCAGUUUCAUAAAUGCAUAGAAAAUUAACAAGCUCAAAUUCCUUCUUUUCAUAUUCAUCUCUUUUACUUUGAAUUGCAACUUUAUCCUGCCUAAAUUCCUCAACCAUGAACCACCCAUCAGGACAGCCUCAAAAUGAACUUCCUUGGUCCGCCGGAUUCUGCGAUUGUUGCUCUGACCUGAAAACUUGUAACCCUUUCUUCUUUCUUCAAUAUCAGUUCUGUCUUUUUAAUUAUAUGAAUUAGUUUAUCAAUUAAAUAUAUGGACAUUUCAGGUUGCAUUUCAUACUGGUGCCCAUCCAUCACCUUUGGCCAGAUUGCUGAGAUUGUUGAUAAAGGGUCGACUUGUAAGUUAUUAAUUUCUAAAUUGAAAUCUUAUCAUCUUAGGUUUUGCAGACAUAUAUAUAUUUAAAGAGAUAUUAUGUAAUUAAUAAUAAUGUUGAAAAACACUGUUGGAUGGUGCAGCAUGUCGGGCAAGUAGGGCACUAUACACAUUAAUAAUGUUCAUCACCGGGUGUGGGUGCUUAUAUUCUGGCUGCUACCGAUGCAAACUGAGAAAGCAGUAUAACUUGAAAGGAGGCGAUUGUGGCGAUUGCAUGCGUCAUUUCUGCUGCGAGCCUUGUGCCUUGACACAAGAGUAUCGUGAGCUCCAGAACCGUGGAUUCGACAUGUCUAUCGGUAUGUCUACAUACCAAUAUUAUACCCCUUUUAAUUAUUCUUAAUAUAACUUCAAGUAUAUUAAUUGAGUAGCUGUAAACAAAUAUCUCCGAAUAAAUAUGUUGGUAAUGAUGAGAUAAAUUAUUGUUUGAGGUCAUUAAUUUUGUGGGGGUAUAUUUAUAUAUGCAGGUUGGCAUGCAAAUGUGGAGAAGAACCCAGGGCUGGCAAUGGCUCCAGCGGUAGAAAAAGGCAUGAGCAAAUAGAUGAUGAUGAUGAUGAGACCACUGCAUUAAUAUCAUCUUUACAUGUAACACUUAAUUCCUUGGCUUUCCAUAAUUGGUUGAUUGUACGGCUUGCCAAUUGAAUUUCAAGUUAUGUAUGUUUGUGAUUGUCAAAUAUAUUAAUAAAAAGUGUUACUAUUCAUGUUAGAUCUUCAUGAAUAAGAAUGAGAAUCGAAAAUAACUUGUAAUAUUGUGUGUGCAUGUUUGGUAUUUAGGUGAAAUACUUAGAAAGAGAGGUUGGAUUAAAUUAAUUUUUUAUUAUCAAAAUGGAUGAUUUUAAUUUUUAUAUUAAUAAAAAGAAUUAAAUAAAAUUAAUAUUUAUUGUUUUAGAAAAUGACAUCAAAUUAUUGUUUUUUAUAGUUCAAUCCAAAUAAAAUAUCUACAAAAUCAUUAAAAACUUUUAAAAUGUGACUUUGUUAAAUAGUAAAUAGCAUUUUUUUAAAAGGGUUCAUAUAUAUCGUGAUACCUAAAGUUGGCAACUUCUACUUAGUAUCUAAAUCGGUACAUAAACUUGAAAAUUGUAAGUCAACUUCGUAUUUUUAUAAGUAUGAUGAUGUUGGUGUAGUGUGAGGAAGAAGACUUGAAUGGGUUUGAUUAUUUUUAAUAAUACAGGAAUUUACAUAUUAUAAGUAAAUAGACACUCACAUUCUUUAUGUAUUAUAAGGAAGAAGACUAAGUCGAUCUACUUUGUAAUCUCAUCAAUCUUAAUUUUCUCAAUUGUUAAGGGAGUUCAAAUGAAAUACAAAAUUUUGGUAAAAAAAAGUAUCCAAUUUUGUGAAUAAAAAAUAUAUGGUAAAAAAGAUUUGGUAUCGAUACUUCGGCGCGGGUAUCAAUACUCGAUACAUUGCUUUUGGUUGGAAAGUAGUGUCUGGAACGGCCAUGGGAUGUGUUGUUUUCCAAACCGGUAAGGCGAAAAGGUUUGUGAAUUUGGUUGAAGACCAACAUGAGAAGAGGCGAAGAAGAAAACCAAAAUAUAGCAAUCGCAUCAAUGGAUGAAGAAGGAUCUAGUUGGUGCAAAUGAAGUUAAAGCAUUUGUGCUGUGUCUUCAUAAUUUCUUGUUUAGUAGUCUGUCAGAAAGUUUUUCCUAUGGUGAAAAGUUGCAUUGGUAUGUGUCUGUCUUUAUGAUUGUACCAAUUCCUCUGUAUUUCAUUGCAUUUCGUACUAUUUGUAAGGGUUUAGUUCGAGUGUAACAUCUUGUAUGGUGCAACUAUGUAUGUCUUCUUUCUUGAUUAUUGAAAUUAUAAUCAAAAUUAAUACAUGUUCUUUUUAUUAGCUUAAGGGCGUAAAAACACUUCAAAAUUUUCAAAAAAUAAAAUAAAAUUUUAAGUCCCUCUUUUUUUUACACUCAAUUGAAAUUUUUAAAAUGUAUCAAAAAUAUCUUUACAGUUCUUCAAAAAAAAAAACAAUUAAACCCCUAUUUUUUUUCCGCUCAAUUGGGUACUUGAACUUUCAUAAUGCAUCAAAAAUGCCUUAAAUUUUUUUCAAAAAAGCAAUUAAGCCCCUACUCUUAUUAAAAAUUAGAAAAAAAUCAUAAAAAUAAUAAAUUUUAGAAAAAAUUAUUAAAUUUUAAUAAAAAUUUAAAAUUUUAUUAAAAAUUAGAAUUUUUUUUUAGAAAAAUCGUCAAAAAAUAAAAAAUUAUAAAAUCCAUCAAAAAGUUUUAACAAUUAACUUUAACUAUUGAUCGUUAAAGUUAACGACCUCUAGUUUUUUCAAUUAAAGUCAUUAUGUGUCGCAACUCAACGUGACAUGUAGCGAAAAUAGAUAAAAAAGUAAAAAUCAAUAAAAGUUAUAGAAAAAUUAUAAAAUAUUUCUUUUGGUAGAAUAAUUUUUAUAAAUUUUUUUUACAAAAUUUAUAUUUCUUUACAUUUUGUAUAAUUUUCUUAUAACUUUAUAAAAUUUUAUAAAUUUUUAUAUUUCUAUAUAUUUUAAAAUUUUUUAAAAUUUUUAUAAAAUUUUACAAUUUUUAUAUAUUUUUAAUAAAUUUUUAAUAUUUGAUUUUUUAUUAAAAUUUAAUAAUAUUAUAGAUUUUAUUGAUUUUAAUUUUUUAUCUAAUUUUUAAUAAAAUUAGGGGGUUAAUUGCUUUUUUUUUAAGUUUGAGGGUCUUUUUGAUGCAUUUUGAAAGUUCAAGUACCCAAUUGACUGCAAAACAAAAAGAAAAAAAGUAGGGGCUUAAUUGCUUUUUUUGAAAAUGUUUGAGGGCUUUUUUGAUGUAUUUUGAAAGUUCAAGUACCCAAAUGAGUGCAUAAAAAGAACAGGGGUUUAGUUGCUAUUUUGAAAAAGUUUGAGGGCUUUUUGCACCUUUAAACCUCUUUUCUUUUUCUAAAUUUAAUUUAGAACCAACUUUGUGUAAAGACUUGGGAAAUUUAAUUAGCAAAAUUUCUUUCCAUGUAAAAAUUUCCCCUAUUUCUUGUUUGAAUUUAAAGCAAUACAAUAUUUUUCUAGCAAAUAAUAGAAAAUGACAGUCAAUUAAUUCCAGCAAUACAACAUUUCCAGUCUGGUGGAAAACAGCUAGGGACCAAAUUUUUAAAGUGUUGUUUACUACACACUUAGGGACCAUAUAUGUAUAUAUAUAUAUUCCAGUCUGGGUCUUUGUCGUGUUUUGUUGGUUGGCUAUGGCCUUCUUGUUGUUUCAUGGCCACUGCCCGUGAAUUAAGUCAUAUGUGGCCUUGUUUGCUAGACCUUAGUUGCUAAGUUAAAGGGAGUGAAUAGAGCACCAUAUUUCUUCUUCUGCGUGGAAAAUAAGUUGGCAUUAUGCCAAAUUCCACAUUCAUACAUAGAAAGGAAGCAAGGCCAAGUCAUUAUACUUUGUAAUCUCAUCAAUUCUAAUUAUUUCACUUCUUCAUUCUUUAGGGAGUUCAAGUGAAAUACAAAUUUUUCCACAUCCAAUCUCAUAAAUAAUCCGUCUUUGAACUUUCACAAAAAAAUAUUAAAUACCCAUUCACUUUAAUUCUACUAUUCUUAAAUCAUUCAAGUUUUGUGGAAAAUAUGCUUCUUGGAUAAAAUUAUUCAACACACAUGCCUUGAAUUUUAUGCAAUAAAAUAAAUCAAUAUAGGCCACACAUGCUUUGAAUAUUUAAGUAGUCCACAAUUUUGUUCGUUUGUGUGCAAAAUUCUACAUUGCUUGACAGCCAUACAUUCUAAGUAAAUAGACACCCACAUUGUUUACGUAUUAUGAAGAAGAAGACUAAGUCAGUCUACUUUGUAAUCUCAUCAAUCUUAAUUUUCUCAGUUAUUUAGGGAGUUCAAAUGAAAUACAAAAUUUUGGGAAAAAAAAUGUAUCCAAUUUUGUGAAUGAAAAAUAUAUGGUAAAAAGGAUUUGGUAUGGAUACUUCGGCUCGGGUAUCAAUACUCAGGGUAAGUUUAUCGAUACAUUGCUUUUGGUUGGAAAGUGGUGUUGAUAGGUGAUGACUAAAAUUUGAUAAAUUUGAAAAGUACAUGAAAUUUAACGAUUAUUGUUUGGUGAUGACUAAAAUUUUAAAAUUUGAAAAGUACAUGAACUAAAAAUGACCAAAUUAAAGUAUAAAGAUUAAGUCCACAACUUUUGCAAAGUACAAGGACUAAUAGCAGAAAUUAACCUAAAUUUCAUAUGGGUCAAUUACAAAAAUAAUCACUAAACUAUUCCUUUGGUUCUAUUCUAGUCACUCAACUAUAGAGGUGCUCAUGGGCUGAGCCAGGUCAAGCCUAAGUAUGAUAUUAAUGUAUUUUAUACUUGCUCAAGCUUGGCUCGGCCUGAAAUAUGAGCUUAAAAUUUUGCCUGAACUCAUCCAUAUUUGCAAAAGACUAACCCAAGCUCAUUUUAAGCAUGCCUAUAUAAUUUUUAAUUUUUUUUAAAUAUUUAUAUUAUAUUAUAUUAAUUAAUAAUUUAAACAUUUUUUAUUUAUUAAAAUUUUUUAUAGUCAUUUUAACAUUAUUUUAAUGUUUACAUUAUAGUAUUAUUAUAUAUUUAGUAUAAGUAUUUUUUUAAUAUGUUCUAAUUUAUAUAAUAUAAAGUAUUAUACACUUAAAAACGGGCCGGGCUGGGCUUGAGCUUUAGUUGUUACUCAACUAUUAAUUUUUUCGAUUUAGUUGUUAACCUUUUCAAAAGUAAAUAUUUUAGUCAGUCUCCUAUUAGUUGUUGUUAAAUGAGUGACGGAAAGCUAAUGUGAGCUUUUUUUAUUAGUCUAAUAACAAAUUUAGCCCUCCAAUGUUUACACAUUCUAUCAAUUUGAUCGUAAAUAUAAAAAAAAAAUCAACAAAUUUAGCCCUGAAUAUUAACAAAACUUGUCAUUUUAGUUCAAAUUCUAAAAAAUUUAAUAAAUUUAACCUUUAAUAUUUUCAAAAAAAUAGCAAUUUAGUUCUAAUUCUAAAAAUUUUAAUAUAUAUAUUUAAAAAAAUAUUUCUAAUCCUCUGUCUCACCCUUUGAUUUUUUAGAUGAGCUAAAAUCAAAAUAUAUCAUUAUGUCUUUUUGUUUUAAUGCUAAAAGAGAUAAAAAAAAAUGGAAAGCUAAAAUGGCUUUUCGUUUGUGAAGUUACAAAAUGCCAAAUAAAUUAUUAUGUCUUUUUAGUUUUAAUUUUUUACUUGAUUAAAAGAGAAAUAAUUAACGAAUGAAAAAUAAUUAUUCACAAAUAAAUUUAUCAGAAUUUAUAACAAAUGAGAUUUUAAAUUUGAAUUUAUAAAUCAAAAUUUAUAUAUAUAUAUAUAUAAAAGAAAACACAUUUUUAUGAAAUAUAAGAUUUUGUUAAAAGAAAGAGCAUAUAAAAGCAUACACGUUUUUAUGAAAUACAAGAUUUUGCUAAAAGAAAAAGCAUCCAAUUUUAAGAAUGAAAAAUAUAUGGUAAAAGCAUCCAUAACUUUUCAAUAUAAAAGAAAAAAAAGACUAACACCAAUGUUGUGGUAUUAUUUGUUGCCUAUAAAUACCAUUCCUAUCCUUCUUCUUCCUCUACAAACAUAACAUGGCCCCCUAUCUCUUUCUCUGCCUAUUCCUCUUCUUUCCCCAUCUUUAUGCUUCUUUUCUUCUUCAGAAUCUCACUCCUGCUCUUCACUAAUCCAGUUUAAGGACUCUUUUUCCAUCACAAAGGAUGCUUCCUGGUAUUUCGAUUAUAUUACUGGCCUUAAAUCUUAUCCCAAGACAAAUUCAUGGAAGGAGGGUACAGAUUGCUGCUCAUGGGAUGGGGUCACUUGUGACCACCUAAAUGCUCAUGUUAUUGCCCUUGACUUGAGCUGCAGUUGGCUAUAUGGCACCUUCCCUUCCAAUACCACUCUCUUCCUUCUUCCUCACCUUCAAAAACUCAACCUUGCCUACAAUCAUUUUAAUUCUUCCAAAAUUCCAUCCGAGUUCGGUCGGUUUACAAGCCUAUUCUACCUCAACCUUUCCAAUACAUGGUUUUCAGAAGUCCCAUCCCAAGUCUCCCACCUGUCAAAAUUGGUUUCACUUGAUCUCUCCUCUCGGAUUGAUUACUCUGGGCAAGUUACAAUUGACAAACAUGCUCUGGAGGGACUUGUUCACAACCUAACCGAGGUCAGACAUCUGUUUUUGGAUGGAAUCAACAUGACUUCUGUUAAUGCUCAUGUCUUCAUGAAUCUAUCCUCUUCUCUAAGGUCUCUCAGUCUUGCUUUUUGUGAUUUGCAAGGAAAAUUCCCAAAAAACAUUUUUGAUUUGCAAAACCUCAAUCUCCUCAACUUGAGAUACAACCAAUUGAGUGGACAAAUUCCAAGAUCAUUGGGGAACCUCUUGCAACUCACUCAUUUACACUUGUCGGGGAACCAAUUGAGUGGACAAAUUCCAUUGUCAAUUCUAAACCUAACGCAGUUGGAAUACUUGGAAAUAUCUGAAAAUUCUUUAGAAGGUUCCAUUCCAGAUGAGGUAACCGCUUUUCCUAAUCUAAUAUAUUUAUACUUAUCUGACAAUUUACUCAAUGGAACACUUCCGUCAUGGUUGUAUACUGCUCCCUGCUUAAAGGAAAUAUAUCUCUCUCAAAAUCAAUUCAGUGGGC
This 23105-nucleotide long non-coding RNA is filed under the name Gossypium barbadense (sea-island cotton). RNAcentral's name for it is "long non-coding RNA (GBAR_LNC016765)". Lineage: Eukaryota; Viridiplantae; Streptophyta; Magnoliopsida; Malvales; Malvaceae. The record is from RNAcentral.